GCAUAUCAAUAUGCGGAGGAAAAGAAACUAACAAGGAUUCCCCUAGUAAUGGCGAAUGAAGAGGGAAAAGCCCAAAUUUGUAAUCUGGCUCUUUCAGAGUCCGAGUUGUAAUUUUAAGAACUGUUUUCAGUGCUGGACCAUGUACAAGUCUGUUGAAAAGCAGCAUCAUAGAAGGUGAUAAUCCUGUUCAUGAUAUGGACUACCAGUGCAAUAUGAUACAGUCUCUAAGAGUCGAGUUGUUUGGGAAUGCAGCUCAAAGUGGGUGGUAAAUUCCAUCUAAGGCUAAAUAUUGAUGAGAGACCGAUAGCAAACAAGUACCGUGAGGGAAAGAUGAAAAGAACUUUGGAAAGAGAGUUAACAGUACGUGAAAUUGUUAAAAGGGAAACAAUUGAAGUUAGACUUGUUAUUAUUAGUUCAACCUUUUCUAAGGGGGUAUUCUAAUGAUUAACAGACCAACAUCAAUUUUUGGGUGUUGGAGAAGGGUUUAAGGAAAUGUAGCAGUUUUUGACUGUGUUAUAGUCCUGAGCUUUGAUACAAUGCUUAAGAUUGAGGAAUGCAGUAAGCCCUUUCUUUUUUUGGGUGGAACAAAUUAUUGUUCUUCUUACUGAGGAUGUUGGUGCAAUAGCUUUAAAUGACCCGUCUUGACCC
RNAcentral lists this ribosomal RNA (648 nucleotides) under Puccinia adenocauli. Its description in RNAcentral is "partial large subunit ribosomal RNA". It matches the Rfam family "Eukaryotic large subunit ribosomal RNA", at positions 38 to 660 of the family's 3401-position model. The record is from RNAcentral. Lineage: Eukaryota; Fungi; Basidiomycota; Pucciniomycetes; Pucciniales; Pucciniaceae.